GAUGAACGCUGGCGGCGUGCCUAAUACAUGCAAGUCGAGCGAACAGACGAGGAGCUUGCUCCUCUGACGUUAGCGGCGGACGGGUGAGUAACACGUGGAUAACCUACCUAUAAGACUGGGAUAACUUCGGGAAACCGGAGCUAAUACCGGAUAAUAUAUUGAACCGCAUGGUUCAAUAGUGAAAGACGGUUUUGCUGUCACUUAUAGAUGGAUCCGCGCCGCAUUAGCUAGUUGGUAAGGUAACGGCUUACCAAGGCAACGAUCCGUAGCCGACCUGAGAGGGUGAUCGGCCACACUGGAACUGAGACACGGUCCAGACUCCUACGGGAGGCAGCGGUAGGGAAUCUUCCGCAAUGGGCGAAAGCCUGACGGAGCAACGCCGCGUGAGUGAUGAAGGUCUUCGGAUCGUAAAACUCUGUUAUUAGGGAAGAACAAAUGUGUAAGUAACUAUGCACGUCUUGACGGUACCUUAUCAGAAAGCCACGGCUAACUACGUG
This 497-nucleotide ribosomal RNA is filed under the name uncultured bacterium. RNAcentral's name for it is "partial 16S ribosomal RNA". It matches the Rfam family "Bacterial small subunit ribosomal RNA", at positions 28 to 507 of the family's 1533-position model. The record is from RNAcentral.